This 253-nucleotide ribosomal RNA is filed under the name uncultured bacterium. RNAcentral's name for it is "partial 16S ribosomal RNA". It matches the Rfam family "Bacterial small subunit ribosomal RNA", at positions 524 to 776 of the family's 1533-position model. The record is from RNAcentral.
UACGUAGGGUGCAAGCGUUGUCCGGAAUUAUUGGGCGUAAAGAGCUCGUAGGCGGUUUGUCGCGUCUGCUGUGAAAACUGGAGGCUCAACCUCCAGCCUGCAGUGGGUACGGGCAGACUAGAGUGCGGUAGGGGAGAUUGGAAUUCCUGGUGUAGCGGUGGAAUGCGCAGACAUCAGGAGGAACACCGAUGGCGAAGGCAGAUCUCUGGGCCGUAACUGACGCUGAGGAGCGAAAGCGUGGGGAGCGAACAGG